RNAcentral lists this ribosomal RNA (253 nucleotides) under uncultured bacterium. RNAcentral describes it as "partial 16S ribosomal RNA". It matches the Rfam family "Bacterial small subunit ribosomal RNA", at positions 524 to 776 of the family's 1533-position model. The record is from RNAcentral.
UACGGGGGGAGCAAGCGUUGUUCGGAAUUACUGGGCGUAAAGGGCUCGUAGGCGGCCAACUAAGUCGGACGUGAAAUCCCUCAGCUUAACUGGGGAACUGCGUCCGAUACUGGAUGGCUUGGAUUUGGGAGAGGGAUGCGGAAUUCCAGGUGUAGCGGUGAAAUGCGUAGAUAUCUGGAGGAACACCGGUGGCGAAGGCGGCAUCCUGGACCAAUAUUGACGCUGAGGAGCGAAAGCUAGGGGAGCAAACGGG